Non-coding RNA from Cordylochernes scorpioides, 102 nucleotides. The record is from the annotation of a GenBank genome assembly. Lineage: Eukaryota; Metazoa; Arthropoda; Arachnida; Pseudoscorpiones; Chernetidae.
ACUCUCAAAUCAUAUUUGCAUAUUCUGGUUCUCGCCCGAUCACUGAAGUUAAGUCGGGCCCGGUCAGUACUUGGGAGGGUGACCUCCUGGGCGCUGUUGGUU